This 396-nucleotide ribosomal RNA is filed under the name uncultured bacterium. Its description in RNAcentral is "bacterial SSU rRNA". It matches the Rfam family "Bacterial small subunit ribosomal RNA", at positions 29 to 420 of the family's 1533-position model. The record is from RNAcentral.
AUUGAACGCUGGCGGCAUGCCUAACACAUGCAAGUCGAACGGCAGCACGGCAGUAGCAAUACUGUGGGUGGCGAGUGGCGGACGGGUGAGGAAUACGUCGGAAUCUGCCCAAUCGUGGGGGAUAACUAACCGAAAGGUUAGCUAAUACCGCAUACGACCGAGAGGUGAAAGCGGGGGACCGCAAGGCCUCGCGCGAUUGGAUGAGCCGACGUCGGAUUAGCUUGUUGGUGGGGUAAAGGCCUACCAAGGCAACGAUCCGUAGCUGGUCUGAGAGGAUGAUCAGCCACACUGGAACUGAGACACGGUCCAGACUCCUACGGGAGGCAGCAGUGGGGAAUAUUGGACAAUGGGCGGAAGCCUGAUCCAGCAAUGCCGCGUGUGUGAAGAAGGCCUCGG